UACAGAGGGGGCAAGCGUUGUUCGGAAUUACUGGGCGUAAAGCGCGUGUAGGCGGCUAAGUAAGUCGGGCGUGAAAUCCCACGGCUCAACCGUGGAAGUGCACUCGAAACUGCAUAGCUAGAGUCCUGGAGAGGAAGGUGGAAUGCUUGGUGUAGAGGUGAAAUUCGUAGAUAUCAAGCGGAACACCGGUGGCGAAGGCGGCCUUCUGGACAGUGACUGACGCUGAGACGCGAAAGCGUGGGGAGCAAACAGG
RNAcentral lists this ribosomal RNA (253 nucleotides) under uncultured bacterium. Its description in RNAcentral is "partial 16S ribosomal RNA". It matches the Rfam family "Bacterial small subunit ribosomal RNA", at positions 524 to 776 of the family's 1533-position model. The record is from RNAcentral.